GCGGUGGAUGAUGUGGUUUAAUUCGAUGCAACGCGAAAACCUUAACCCACCUUUGACAUGGCAGGAAUCCUGAAGAGAUUUGGGAGUGCUCGAAAGAGAACCUGCACACAGGUGCUGCAUGGCUGUCGUCAGCUCGUGUCGUGAGAUGUUGGGUUAAGUCCCGCAACGAGCGCAACCCUUGCCAUUAGUUGCUACGAAAGGGCACUCUAAUGGGACUGCCGGUGACAAACCGGAGGAAGGUGGGGAGUGACGUCAAGUCCUCAUGGCCCUUAUAGGUGGGGCUACACACGUCAUACAAUGGCCGGUACAGAGGGUAGCCAACCCGCGAGGGGGAGCCAAUCCCACAAAGCCGGUCGUAGUCCGGAUCGCAGUCUGCAACUCGACUGCGUGAAGUCGGAAUCGCUAGUAAUCGCGGAUCAGCAUGUCGCGGUGAAUACGUUCCCGGGUCUU
RNAcentral lists this ribosomal RNA (450 nucleotides) under uncultured Allobrachymonas sp. RNAcentral's name for it is "bacterial SSU rRNA". It matches the Rfam family "Bacterial small subunit ribosomal RNA", at positions 929 to 1382 of the family's 1533-position model. Lineage: Bacteria; Pseudomonadati; Pseudomonadota; Betaproteobacteria; Burkholderiales; Comamonadaceae. The record is from RNAcentral.